GCCUCGGUAGUACAAUGGAAUAGCACAGCAGACCGGUUACCUGUAAGUGCGAGUUCGAAUCUCACCUGAGGUU
This 73-nucleotide transfer RNA is filed under the name Dictyocaulus viviparus (bovine lungworm). It matches the Rfam family "tRNA". From Rfam's summary of the family: Transfer RNA (tRNA) molecules are approximately 80 nucleotides in length. Their secondary structure includes four short double-helical elements and three loops (D, anti-codon, and T loops). Lineage: Eukaryota; Metazoa; Nematoda; Chromadorea; Rhabditida; Metastrongylidae. The record is from Rfam by way of RNAcentral.